CCUGAAGUUUAUACUAGUGCCUGGUGUGUGCGUUGAGCCGGCGUGUGUGUGUGUGUGUGUGGUAGAGGGAGAAGUGAGAUAGUGGCGGCGAUUAGCUUCGGCGCGAGUACUGACUUUAGAGUCAUAGUGAGGGUAACAAAGUGUCUCCUCUGUGCUUUCUGACCGAGGUGGAAAAUCUGUAGCAGGAAAAGUGCAUCCUCUCCUUGAUUUCAUGUUGUUUAUAGAGAAGGAGAACCAGGAAAUGAGUCGGGCGACAUGCAACGCUACCAAGCCACGGCCGAGUGAUGUGCGUCGCCGCACUGUGUGGUUACAUUUCUCGAGAGGUGCACAUCAGGCUACGGUGUAGAGAUCCGGCAUAGACGCAGAGGGGUCUGUGGGGGUAGGCGACGAUUCGACGCAGAAGCAUAAAACGGCCUUU
Molecule: long non-coding RNA, 418 nt
Organism: Etheostoma spectabile (orangethroat darter)
Lineage: Eukaryota; Metazoa; Chordata; Actinopteri; Perciformes; Percidae
Exons: 3
Source: RefSeq, a predicted model, not a curated record